AGAGUUUGAUCCUGGCUCAGGAUGAACGCUAGCGGCAGGCUUAACACAUGCAAGUCGAGGGGUAUAAGGGGCUUGCCCUUUAGAGACCGGCGCACGGGUGCGUAACGCGUAUGCAAUCUACCUUUCACAGGGGGAUAGCCCAGAGAAAUUUGGAUUAAUACCCCAUAGCAUAUAUUGAUGGCAUCAUUGGUAUAUUAAAGUCACAACGGUGAAAGAUGAGCAUGCGUCCCAUUAGCUAGAUGGUAAGGUAACGGCUUACCAUGGCAACGAUGGGUAGGGGUCCUGAGAGGGAGAUCCCCCACACUGGUACUGAGACACGGACCAGACUCCUACGGGAGGCAGCAGUGAGGAAUAUUGGUCAAUGGGCGCAAGCCUGAACCAGCCAUGCCGCGUGCAGGAUGACGGUCCUAUGGAUUGUAAACUGCUUUUAUACGGGAAGAAACCCCGCCACGUGUGGCGGAUUGACGGUACCGUAAGAAUAAGGAUCGGCUAACUCCGUGCCAGCAGCCGCGGUAAUACGGAGGAUCCAAGCGUUAUCCGGAAUCAUUGGGUUUAAAGGGUCCGUAGGCGGCCCGGUAAGUCAGUGGUGAAAUCUCCCCGCUCAACGGGGAAACGGCCAUUGAUACUGCCGGGCUUGAAUGGUCAGGAAGUAACUAGAAUAUGUAGUGUAGCGGUGAAAUGCUUAGAUAUUACAUGGAAUACCAAUUGCGAAGGCAGGUUACUACUGGCAAAUUGACGCUGAUGGACGAAAGCGUGGGUAGCGAACAGGAUUAGAUACCCUGGUAGUCCACGCCGUAAACGAUGGAUACUAGCUGUCCGGAUGCAAAUCUGGGUGGCUAAGCGAAAGUGAUAAGUAUCCCACCUGGGGAGUACGAACGCAAGUUUGAAACUCAAAGGAAUUGACGGGGGCCCGCACAAGCGGUGGAGCAUGUGGUUUAAUUCGAUGAUACGCGAGGAACCUUACCAAGGCUUAAAUGUAGGUUGACCGGAUUGGAAACAGUCCUUUCGCAAGACAACUUACAAGGUGCUGCAUGGUUGUCGUCAGCUCGUGCCGUGAGGUGUCAGGUUAAGUCCUAUAACGAGCGCAACCCCUGUUGUUAGUUGCCAGCGAGUGAAGUCGGGAACUCUAACAAGACUGUCAGUGCAAACUGUGAGGAAGGUGGGGAUGACGUCAAAUCAUCACGGCCCUUACGCCUUGGGCUACACACGUGCUACAAUGGCCGGUACAGAGAGCAGCCACCUCGCGAGGGGGAGCGAAUCUAUAAAACCGGUCACAGUUCGGAUCGGAGUCUGCAACUCGACUCCGUGAAGCUGGAAUCGCUAGUAAUCGGAUAUCAGCCAUGAUCCGGUGAAUACGUUCCCGGGCCUUGUACACACCGCCCGUCAAGCCAUGGAAGCUGGGGGUGCCUGAAGUCGGUGACCGCAAGGAGCUGCCUAGGGUAAAACUGGUAACUAGGGCUAAGUCGGAACAAGGUAGCCGUACCGGAAGGUGCGGCUG
Molecule: ribosomal RNA, 1498 nt
Filed under: metagenome
Description: bacterial SSU rRNA
Rfam family: Bacterial small subunit ribosomal RNA
Source: RNAcentral